Molecule: long non-coding RNA, 2043 nt
Filed under: Homo sapiens (human)
Lineage: Eukaryota; Metazoa; Chordata; Mammalia; Primates; Hominidae
Description: MKLN1 antisense RNA
Source: RNAcentral
GUUACCCGAGCCCAGCGCCGGGCCAAUGUCCUAUCUCAGGGUUUCCCACGUCGCUCGCUCCUUGACGGCUGACCGACACUGGGUCUGAGGUGUAAGCGCUUUCCAGGCCCUUCCCUGGGGCUUGGAGGGGAAUGGCGCAAAGGACUUUUCUUACAAGCAGAGCCACUGCAGUUACCAAAGAGUAUGUCGCUUAUUGUCUAAGAGGUUGGACUCCUGAAAGCCUGGACAGUGUCAUCAUCUUCACCUGAAGAGUGGAAAAAUUCAAGCAAAGAGUUUCUCAGGAAAUGACCAAGUAAAACAUCUGGAGUAAGUCAGCAGGAUUCACAGUGACUCCCCCCAACCAGCUGGUGGUGUUUCUCUCUGAAAGCAGCGCUUGGUACCAGUGUGAACUCUCUUCCUUCAGAAGUCUCAUCAGGUGGACGUAAUACGAGGGUCUGGUCCCCCAUACCUUGAGGACUCCGCUGCCAUCUGACAAUUACAGACAAUCCAAUUGUCCUCAUCCUUGAGGACUCUGCUGCCAUCUGACAAUUAGAGACAGUCCAAAACAUGCCACACUUUGAUCCUAAACACAUUCCUGGCUUUGGUCACUUUUGAAAAGUUCCUGAGUUAUGAGAAAUCAAUAAUAAGAGUGUUCAAAACCUGAACACUCUUUUUAGAAAUACCUGCUGGAACUACAUAUAUGAUUUAUGGGGUACUGUCUUGUAGUAUCUGGGAAAGUAGACCCAUCUAACCUGGAAUGAUCAUAGGCAACAAUGACCAAAAAUGGGGAUCUUUUGAUAUACCUAAAGUAAUUUAUUUGUGCACACCAUUGGAAAGAGCUGGUUUUAGAACCAGACAUGUAAAUAAGAGACUGACUUCCACUGGCACCUAAAAACUUCUAAAAGAAAUCCUGAAAGAAAAAGUCACCUUCAUUCAAGAGGAAAUUCAUAGAAUAGGACCCUGACAAGUACUCUUGAAUACAGGUUUCUGAUAACUUUGGAGAUCAUAUCAUUGGACUAAGUAACAACUUUCAGGAUAUAAUUGGAGACACUUGUUAUUUUACUAAGGAUUUGACUGGAAUGACAUAUUUUCAGAUAUGACCAGACUGCUUUGAAGAAUGGAGGUUGACUCUAUAGAGGCAAUUAGAAAGCCUCUUGGAAAGACUGGCCUGGUCCCUUGUCUACGUAGUUCCCUUUCAAGAUUUCUGUCCUGUGUUAAGUAAAGAAUGUCACUUUCUGACAGGCCUGGGAACCUCAAAAUAUUUCCGCUGUGUAUCUCUCAUUGUUUUAUUUCUUCUGAGAAAACUAAAUUCAUGGUACACUGAAGAGGUGAUUCCACAAGUGAUGGCAGCUAUAAAUCAAUGACUGGUAGGACUACCUGGGCAUGAGCCUUUCUGGCAAUGAGGGAUACCUUGACACUCAGAUUUUGAUCAUCAGUGCUUUCAAAAGGAAAGAUUUUUGAUCAAAAGGAAGAAAUGAGAAAAAGAACUUUUAUCUGAAGAAUGCAAGUCCUUUCCAAUUAUCAGAUCCAGAGAGGUAUUAAAAUGAGACGGCAAUCCUGUCCUACACACACCCCCUUUUGAGGCAUGUACUCAUCUUUUUAUACUGCUUACUAUUGCCACAAGUAGCUGAAAAUUAGCCUACUGGUGCUGCACCAGACAUUAUAACCCAUAUCCUAUAGCUUAAUAAUGGAUAGCCAAUCAACAGCUUAUGUUAUGUUAAUGUAAAUUAUUGGUAAAUAACUCAGGAACUGCCUCUUCUUUCCUUUUAAAAACCCACUUGUGGGCCGGGCGUGGUGGCUCACGCCUGUAAUCCCAGCAUUUUGGGAGGCCAAGGUGGGCGGAUCACAAGGUGAGGAGAUCAAGACCAUCCUGGAUAACACAGUGAAACCCUGUCUCUACUAAAAAUACAAAAAAUUAGCCGGGCGUGGUGGCGGGCACCUGUAGUCCCAGCUACUCGGGAGGCUGAGGCAGGAGAAAGGCGUGAACCCAGGAAGCAGAGCUUGCAGUGAGCUGACAUGGCACCACUGCACUCCAGCCCGGGCAACAGUGCGAGGCCCUGUCUC